This 451-nucleotide ribosomal RNA is filed under the name uncultured bacterium. RNAcentral's name for it is "partial 16S ribosomal RNA". It matches the Rfam family "Bacterial small subunit ribosomal RNA", at positions 29 to 523 of the family's 1533-position model. The record is from RNAcentral.
AACGAACGCUGGCGGCAGGCUUAACACAUGCAAGUCGAACGCGUGUAGCAAUACACGAGUGGCGCACGGGUGAGUAACGCGUGGAUAUCUGCCUUUUGGUUCGGAAUAACCCCGGGAAACUGGGGCUAAUACCGGAUGGUUCCUUCGGGAUAAAGAUUUAUCGCCAAAAGAUGAGUCCGCGUACGAUUAGCUAGUUGGUGAGGUAAUGGCUCACCAAGGCGACGAUCGUUAGCUGGUCUGAGAGAACGAUCAGCCACACUGGGACUGAGACACGGCCCAGACUCCUGCGGGAGGCAGCAGUGGGGAAUAUUGGACAAUGGGGGCAACCCUGAUCCAGCCAUGCCGCGUGAGUGAUGAAGGCCUUCGGGUUGUAAAGCUCUUUUGGCGGGGACGAUGAUGACGGUACCCGCAGAAUAAGCCCCGGCUAACUUCGUGCCAGCCGCCGCUGUAA